CAGAGAUGUUGAAGCCUUUAGAAGACUUUAUGAACAAGUUAAUCUUGGAUGGGUAUAUGCUGUUACAAAAUAUGAACCAUUUGGAACAUUAGCUGAUUUCGCAUAUGGUAUAUGGGCGAGGUAUCGUCUUCAGUUGACAGGCCGGCCACCUCUAGAAGAUAUUCUGGUAGCACGAAAGAAAAACCAGGAUGAAGUAUGUAACGACAGCAAUACUUGCAAGAGGUAAUCCUUCUGCACAGGAUGAUGAUUCUCGCUUGGCUGGUUGGUCACCAGAAAGGG
RNAcentral lists this unclassified non-coding RNA (279 nucleotides) under Hevea brasiliensis (rubber tree). The record is from RNAcentral. Lineage: Eukaryota; Viridiplantae; Streptophyta; Magnoliopsida; Malpighiales; Euphorbiaceae.